Molecule: transfer RNA, 65 nt
Filed under: human gut metagenome
Rfam family: tRNA
About the family: Transfer RNA (tRNA) molecules are approximately 80 nucleotides in length. Their secondary structure includes four short double-helical elements and three loops (D, anti-codon, and T loops). Further hydrogen bonds mediate the characteristic L-shaped molecular structure. tRNAs have two regions of fundamental functional importance: the anti-codon, which is responsible for specific mRNA codon recognition, and the 3' end, to which the tRNAs corresponding amino acid is attached (by aminoacyl-tRNA synthetases). tRNAs cope with the degeneracy of the genetic code in two manners: having more than one tRNA (with a specific anti-codon) for a particular amino acid; and 'wobble' base-pairing, i.e. permitting non-standard base-pairing at the 3rd anti-codon position.
Source: RNAcentral
GCAUAGCUCAGUCGGUAGAGCGCAGCCUUGGUAAGGCUGAGGUCGCGGGUUCAAUUCCCACUGUA